GACGAACGCUGGCGGCGUGCUUAACACAUGCAAGUCGAACGGUAAGGCCCCAGCUUGCUGGGGUACACGAGUGGCGAACGGGUGAGUAACACGUGGGUGACCUGCCCCGCACUUCGGGAUAAGCCUGGGAAACUGGGUCUAAUACCGGAUAGGACCGCACCGUGAGGGUGUGGUGGAAAGUUUUUCGGUGUGGGAUGGGCCUGCGGCCUAUCAGCUUGUUGGUGGGGUAAUGGCCUACCAAGGCGGCGACGGGUAGCCGGCCUGAGAGGGUGGACGGCCACAUUGGGACUGAGACACGGCCCAGACUCCUACGGGAGGCAGCAGUGGGGAAUAUUGCACAAUGGGCGGAAGCCUGAUGCAGCGACGCCGCGUGGGGGAUGACGGCCUUCGGGUUGUAAACUCCUUUCACCAUCGACGAAGGUUUUCUGACGGUAGAUGGAGAAGAAGCACCGGCUAACUACGUG
This 464-nucleotide ribosomal RNA is filed under the name uncultured bacterium. Its description in RNAcentral is "partial 16S ribosomal RNA". It matches the Rfam family "Bacterial small subunit ribosomal RNA", at positions 28 to 507 of the family's 1533-position model. The record is from RNAcentral.